Molecule: long non-coding RNA, 3780 nt
Organism: Homo sapiens (human)
Lineage: Eukaryota; Metazoa; Chordata; Mammalia; Primates; Hominidae
Gene: EDNRB-AS1
Product: EDNRB antisense RNA 1
Source: Ensembl
AGAGUGUAUUAAUCUAAGCAAACAUUGGUUUAUGCUUGGCAAUUGAGAAUCAGUCCUGUCAAAACCGGGUGAGCUGCAAUUUUGGCAUUCCAUUGUCUGGAAGAGGAAGAAUAAUUACAACGUUCACAGUAUUCACAAGACAAGAACUAACCAGAGAUUCAAAAGCAGAAUAAUGUUGGGACCCCAGAGAAGUAUUCUUGGCUUUUCUCAGAAGGAAGAAACUGUGUGAUGUGAGGAAUAAUAUCCUCUACAGCAUCUAUAUGGCAUCGGAAGCUCUCAGAAGAAUAACUACUUGCUCUCAUCUUGAUCCAUAGGAAUUGACCAGCUGACCAGCUGGCUAAGUACCCAAAUGUGUGUGGUGAGGGUGAGACUUAAAAACAGAGCUCAACAUCUGAAAUCUAGAAAAAUUUGGUGCCAGUGUUCUUCAUACGAAGUUAGUGAUGCGCUGCCAGUAUUGCAACAGCAUCCUCCUGGGACACAUUUCUAAUGCUUCACAGCAGGAACUGUUUCUGGCAGCUUGGUGAACCAAGAAAGGCAAUAUUCUUCUGGGGUGAGUUCUUAUUCAUUGGCUAUCUGGAGUGCAUGGAGAAGAGCUUGACUGGUUGGCUGAUUCCUGUUCCCCCACUUUCUAAGGAAUCAGUUCAACCACAUGUUUUCUCAUUGUCAACUUUAUAUAAAUAGACUUCCCUUGGCUAUUGUUGGUCUUUCGAAGAAGGAUUGAAUCUUGUUGAAGUUUCUUUCUUACAGACAUAGAAAAUGCUGGUAGCCAUAACACUCCAAACUAUUUUUCUGGAUCUUAAUUUGACUAGGGAGAGAGAAGGUCAUUUUUGUUUAAACAGGGAUUGCAUUUUACAGAAACAUUGCCUUGAGAGACACAACAUGAAUUACAACAUCAUGAUGUAUUCAGCCAGAUGUCUGCAAGACAGAAAAUCACGUGACUGAGCAAGGCAUGUGAAUGUUCUUAAAGGGGGAGAAAUAGAAAAGAAAAACCAAACAUGCAUCAGAUAUUUCCUUUUUGCAUCACAUUAUUCCCAAUCAUAUGGAUGCCUUAUGUUUAUAACUUGCCAAUUAUGAAUUUCCCCUCAUGUAUAUUAAACUUAAGGAUCACUAUAAUUUUAAUCUUGUUAACAAAUUUGCUGUUUGUCUAUAUCUAUUUAGGAGAUUAGCAUCCAGGGCUCAUUAGGUAUCUGUUAGGAUGGUUGUUAGGGCAUAGUGAGAAAUUAUUUUUUGGCACUCACAACAAAUGUAUAUGGAUAUACAUUUAGUUUCUUGGGAUCCUAGUCCAUGUAUUUGAAAAGUAUAUGUACUUGACGAUCCUGAGCAAAACUGGAAUCAUUUGAAUUAAUUCAUCUUUUUUUUUCACAAUUGGCAAUCUCACGCUCAGUAUAUUAAUACAUAUUCACUAAAUAAUCAUAGUGUAGUUUGUAGUUUCUCAGUUGCACAGAAAUGGUUGGGUUCUUUCAGGGAUCCUUACUUGAAGAUAAGGAUCAGAGCACUAUUAAGGAAAGGGAGGAUAAUCCUGAAGUGUGGGAGGGGAUGGUCAUGGAUUUACCUAUUUUUACUAUUUGUUUUAUUUACUCUAUUUCUAACAACCCAAUCACUUCUCCAGUGGCAAAGGCCUUUGGCAUUUGGUAGGCACCCAAUGCAUAAUUGCUGAUGAAAGAAUGAAUUCUAUUGCCAGGGCAUCCAUUUCAUUUUCUCUGCAGCCACACCAUCAGCAUGGCAACUGCCCCGACAGCACAUUCUUUUCAUGAUUGUUUUAAAUUUCUUAUGCUAUUUUCCGUAAGGUAGUGGUCUAUAUAAUUUUUAGUCAUGCACUCCUAUUAAUUAAGUUUUGUGCAUGUAGUCUCUAAAUACAUAUUUUACAAAUAAGAUAUUCUGUUGCUUUAUAAAAUAUAGUUAAUCAGAAGAAUGAGAUUGUUAAUAACAAUUCUAAUAAUUAUUUCUCCAUUUUCAUGGACUGUCUUGCUAACCUUCCUUGUACACUGUAUUCUGGAGAACCUUGGCUGUUGAAAGCAUAAAGGAAGAAGAAUGCAGUUUUUGCCUUGGGGAGCUUACAUCUUAUCUGGUAUACCAGAUAAACACAAUGAAGGACAACACAACGGUAAACAAGCAUGUGAAGAAGGUCCUUGUUCCCCCUUCGCCUUCUGCCGUGAUUCUAAGCUUCCUGAGGCCUCCACAGCCGUAUGCAAAUGUGACUCAACUGAACUUCUUUCUUUUAUAAAUUACCUAGUUCUUGGGGAGUGUUUUUAUAGCAGCUUGAGAAUGGACUAAUACACUUUAUUAGUCAUUCAACCUCUCUAAGCCUCCAUUUGCUUGUCUGUAAAAUGGAAGUAAUAACGUCUUCUUCAUGGAGUCUUUAUUAUUAGUAUUAGAGGAUCCAAUGAAUGGAAAACACCUGGAAUAGAGCUGGGUUCCUGUGCAUGCUUACCAAAAGUCCUUUCUCUUCUCCUGCAAAUCUUUGAAUGUCUAUCUUGAUUAAUUCUUGUUGUAUUUAUAUUACAUGUUUGAACUACAGGCAUUGGAAUCAAACUUCCUAAGUACUCAUCUUCUCUGGAAUACCAACUAGUAACCAAGUAACUUAGUAAACUAUGACUCAGUUUGUUUAUCUGUAAAUUAAAAAUAGGCCAGGCGCGAUGGCUCACACCUGUAAUCCAGCACUUUGGGAGGCCGAGGCGGGCAGAUCACAAGGUCAGGAGAUGGAGACCAUCCUGGCCAACAUGGUGAAACCCUGUCUCUAUGAAAAAUACAAAAAAAAAUUAGCCGGACAUGGUGGCAUGUGCCUGUAAUCCCAGCUACUUAGGAGGCUGAGGCAGGAGAAUCGCUUGAACCCGGGAGGUGGAGGUUGCAGUGAGCUGAGAUGGCACCACUGCACUCCAGCCUGAUGACACAGCUAAACUCCAUCUUAAAAAAAAAAAGAGUAGUAUCACCCCAAGGAGUUGUGGAGACUAAAUGAAAUGUUUACUUCUUUAAGGAGUAGCCAUUUUGUUAUGAUUUUCACCCUUGGACUUGUGUUUUCACCAUUGGACUUGUAUUUUAAUAGAGUUUAAAACAUAGUGGUAUGUUUCCAUUUUUAUGUGUUGCUUUUGUUUUAUUGAGGACUAUCAGAGAUUUCUGAAAUUUUUCUGUUUAAUGAAGAUUUAAAUUGCUACGAACACCUACUAACCUCCCUGCCCAGUGCCUCUAUUCCUUUGCAGAACAGCUAUCUUGCUUUGUCAAUUAUGUGUUUCAAGUUGUAUCUGUCAAUCACAGAAACCUGCCUUCUUGGCCACAGUGAUUUGUCCAUGGGUGGAAAUAGCUAACCCAAAGUAGACCAGUGAGUUGUUUUUCUUAGAAUGUUAACUUGAGUCAGUUCCUGCAGGCAAAGCUGUGAGUUAUUAGACCCCAGGACACAAGAUGACCAUAUUCCCUGCAGUGUAAAACAAGUCAAUCUGAACACGACUUCAGAAUUACAGAGAGUGGGGCCAGGAUGUUCUGAUACCAUUUGGUCUCUGGUUCUAGCCACUUCUUUGACCAAGCUGUACUCUGUCCUUCAUUUGGCUACUUGACACCUCCAUGAAAUUCUCUUGGUAGCAUGUUCCAUUUCAAUUGGGCUUCUCUCACUUGUGAUGUGUCAAAUAACACAGAAAAAUUUUGGUAUGUUAAUGAUUGUUACAGAAGACAAGGUGGAGCCUGCUAUUUUAUUCUAAUAUUAUUAUAUUAUAACAUUAUAAGCCAUCUUUAUGUUUUAAGUGCCCUUCAUGCACAUUACUUUUAAUGACCAUGUAAUAUUUCAUCAUA